UAUUAUAUGAAUGAAAUCAAAGAGUAAUGAUUUGGUUUAAAAUGUAAAUCACUUUCUGAAACGAAAAGUGAUGAAAAUGAAGCUGAGGGAGCGCUUGCCUCUGUUUUAAAAGUACUGCAACAGAUCCACACUCUGUUCUUCGACCCGGAACACAGGGACAAUAUUAUGAAACGAGAUGUUAGGCAGGUGCUGAAACAAGUGCGGAAGGAAAUAUUGAAGGGUUGUAAAAUCGUCUUCACCCAGGUAUUUCCUACACAAUUCCAAGCAGAAAAUCACCACUUGUGGAAAUUGGCUGAGCAAUUAGGAGCCACAUGCUCCACAAAAGUCGAUCAAUCGGUGACACAUGUGGUCUCCAAGAUGGAUUGAAGCUGCUAAUUAUUUAUGGCGAAAGCCGUCGGAAGAAAACUUCCCAGUCAGUUCCUAACAAUUUGCUAACCUUAGUUUUGAAUAGGGAAUAUAGUGAUUGUAAAUUGUAGUAUAAUUCUUUCAGGUUUAUUUCACUACCAAAAUCAUCUGAUUAUGACAAAAAAUUAGUUCAUGGGGGAAUCAUCUGAUUUGAUGCUUGAUUGUCUUUCUCAAACUUUCUUUGAAUAUAGUCUAGACAUUGGAUCUUGCUUUUCUA
This is a non-coding RNA of Nicotiana tabacum (common tobacco), 622 nucleotides long. The record is from RefSeq and is a predicted model, not a curated record. NCBI's taxonomy places the organism in Eukaryota, Viridiplantae, Streptophyta, Magnoliopsida, Solanales, Solanaceae.